CCCGCCGAGCACGAGGCUCGCCCUCACCCGGCCGGGCUUCUGAUCAAGGCCGAGUUGGGACAUGCACUUCGGGUAGGAGGUGGCAUCUGGGAGCCGCUGAUAAGGGACCUCCUGCAAGGUGUGCCUGGCAGAGCUGACCAGAGAGGUGACCCCCUGGCCAGAGAGGACUGGCGGGGUGGCCGGGAGGCGGAAACUUUUCCUGCUCCAAAGUGGAGAACAUUCGUUUCUAAUUUCCCAAUCCCACAAGGCAGGCCUCAGGCAAAGUUCCCCCUUGCUCCUCAGGCUUAGCCGGCUUGUGCAGCAACUAGCCUUCCAGAAACCUCAGCUGGAGUGCCAGGGAGCGUGGAGAUGCCGGCCGCAGGUGGGCAGGCGGACCACCGUGGUGCCUUUCUGGAGUGCCAAGGAGUGCCCUGGGAGAAGACAAAUGACCACAUGGGAGGGGAGAAUGAAGCUCUGGCCUGCCCUCAAGGACACGGUAA
RNAcentral lists this long non-coding RNA (479 nucleotides) under Phascolarctos cinereus (koala). RNAcentral's name for it is "lncRNA (ENSPCIG00000032755.1)". The record is from RNAcentral. Lineage: Eukaryota; Metazoa; Chordata; Mammalia; Diprotodontia; Phascolarctidae.